This 1712-nucleotide long non-coding RNA is filed under the name Homo sapiens (human). RNAcentral's name for it is "HSALNT0366395". The record is from RNAcentral. Lineage: Eukaryota; Metazoa; Chordata; Mammalia; Primates; Hominidae.
UCAAUGUCCUAUUUUUAAUGUUAUAAGGUAUUUCUAAUAGUCUGUGCAAAGCGCCAAAGCCGUGACACAUAGCCUGGUACAAAAGGAGAAUAUUUUUCAAUAUUUAGGAUACAUGCUUAUUUACUCAAUAACUUUACAACUUUGACACGUCAUAUUACAUUUUUCAAUAAAAUUUUGUUUAAAAAAAAAGAUGAUGAGAAGUGAGUGGAUCUAGGAAUAUGAAAAGCUAACACGUUUCGUGGAGGAGGUGAGAAUGAGACCAUCAUCCCUCCAGGGACAGAAAAAAAUCAUGGUCAGAGGAGAUGGAGAAACAGGAGAGGGGCAGACUAGGGAUGACAGAAUCGGCUGUUAGGGCUUGUAGAGCAAAGGAUGAAGAAAACAGCUACAGAGAGCAGGGACCUUCCUCCCGCAUCAUGGCACACACACACACACACACAUGCUUAACCCAAAGGGUCACUGGACUCCAAGUCCAGAUGACGUGGGUUCUAGCCCCAGACCUGCCAUUCAGACUCUAUGUGUCACAGGGUGGCAGGGUGAGUCAUAGAAAGGGAGCUGGGUUCAUGGCAGGUUCUCUAAGAAUUAUGAAGCUCAGCAAGUCACUUCAACUACUAAGCCUGAUAAGGAAAAUGAGUCAACUUGAACCCUUUUAUCGCUAACAGCCUGAUUCCAACUCCUAACCCCAGGGUCCAGGAGUAACCCAUAGACAAGUGAAUGGAGAUAAGGAGACAGCUCUGGGGAAAAAAGCAGGAGGCAAGAGAAGCAGGAGCCUGGGGGAGCUGACUGCAGUCAUCCGUAAUACAUCUGGCUAUGUCCGGCAGGUCCUCCUGCCCCAGCCAGAGGAGAGGGCACUGGGGACCAGGUGGGCCAAGGCUGAGGCUGAGGGGGCAGACAAGUGCCGUCUGCACCUGAGGGCUCUGACAGAGGAGACUGCAACACCAUUUCCCCUUCAUCAGCUCAAGUCCAGGAAAGGGAAGUCAGCAGUCGUCACACCGUUUCAGGAGAAACUGGCCUGAGCCUCAUCAUCCUCCACCACCACCAGACAGCUGAUGGGAGGCAGGCAGAUGAGGGUUCAUUGCCGCCAGGUGGUAAGUGGGACUCAGCAAGUGGAGUGGGGGAUGGGGAGGUUAGUGAUGAUGGUGACUAAAGCAGAGAAGGAAAAGGAGGUUCAGACAGUGGAGAGGGCAAGUCUCCCCAAACACUGUGAGGUAGGUCCCCUGAAGGGGUGGCAUCAUGUCUUCCCCCUUCCACCCUAACAUGGCCAUGGGCACAUAGCAGACGCUCAGCAACACCCAUGGAGGAAUUCACCAGAACGUUUGUCCCUCUUAAGACCCCGUGAAGAAUGGUCACUUCCAUGGUGCAGCCAAGGGGCAUGGGAGUCUGUACCCUCUCCCAGCCCCAGGACCUCCCAGAAGCUUGGGUGAUGACUUGUAUCCACCCCCUACCCUCUUCAUGAUGCCCCAUCCAGCUCUCCAGACAUUCCUUCAUGCAACAAACAUUUAUUGAGCUCCUGCCUACUUGCUCCAAGCAGGAUGAUGGGCUAGACAUGGAGCAUACAUAAACGGGCAAGAUUCAGUCCCUGACCGCAAGGCACUUACAGUCUAGUUGGGAAGGGAGACACAAAUGUACAAGAAAGUAUGGUGCAACAGCAACACUCCAGCAGAUGUUAUAGUGUGCUACGGGAGCCCAGGAGAAGGCGGAGUGAUCAAUUUUGG